RNAcentral lists this ribosomal RNA (359 nucleotides) under uncultured bacterium. Its description in RNAcentral is "bacterial SSU rRNA". It matches the Rfam family "Bacterial small subunit ribosomal RNA", at positions 335 to 717 of the family's 1533-position model. The record is from RNAcentral.
ACUCCUACGGGAGGCAGCAGUGGGAAUCUUGGACAAUGGGGCAACCCUGAUCCAGCCAUGCCGCGUGAGUGAUGAAGGCCUUAGGGUCGUAAAGCUCUUUCGCCUGUGAUGAUAAUGACAGUAGCAGGUAAAGAACCCGCGUACUCCGUGCCAGCAGCCGCGGUAAUACGGAGGGGGUUAGCGUUGUUCGGAAUUACUGGGCGUAAAGCGCAUGCAGGCGGCCUGUUAAGUCAGAUGUGAAAGCCCGGGGCUUAACCUCGGAAUUGCAUUUGAAACUGGCAGGCUAGAGUCUUGUAGAGGGGGUAGAAUUUCAGGUGUAGCGGUGAAAUGCGUAGAGAUCUGAAGGAAUACCAGUGGCG